GCUGGCGGCGUGGAUAAGACAUGCAAGUCGAGCGAGAUUUUUUCCUGUAGCAAUACAGGGAAAAGUCUAGCGGCGAACGGGUGCUUAACACGUGGGCAACCUGCCAAGAAGUGGGGGAUAGCUCGCCGAAAGGCGAAUUAAUACCGCAUGUGAUCAGAGUGGACAUCCAUUCGAAAUCAAAGUCGGGGCAACCUGACGCUUUUAGAGGGGCCCGCGGCCUAUCAGCUAGUUGGUGAGGUAACGGCCCACCAAGGCUUAGACGGGUAGCUGGUCUGAGAGGACGACCAGCCACACUGGGACUGAGACACGGCCCAGACACCUACGGGUGGCAGCAGUCGAGAAUUUUUCUCAAUGGGGGAAACCCUGAAGGAGCGACGCCGCGUGGAGGAUGAAGGUCUUCGGAUUGUAAACUCCUGUCAUUGGGGAACAAUGCGUAAAUAUUAACUGUAUUUGCGUUGAUAG
Molecule: ribosomal RNA, 462 nt
Filed under: uncultured soil bacterium
Lineage: Bacteria
Description: bacterial SSU rRNA
Rfam family: Bacterial small subunit ribosomal RNA
Source: RNAcentral